Molecule: non-coding RNA, 71 nt
Organism: Capnocytophaga haemolytica
Lineage: Bacteria; Pseudomonadati; Bacteroidota; Flavobacteriia; Flavobacteriales; Flavobacteriaceae
Source: Rfam
UAACAAGAGGAAAAAUUUGGACUGAUUGCGACCUCUUUGGGUACUCCCAGAAAAAUGCUAAAACAGUAAGG